CAGCAGCCACGGGAAUACAGAGGGUGCGAGCGUUAAUCGGAUUUACUGGGCGUAAAGCGUGCGUAGGCGGCUUCUUAAGUCGGAUGUGAAAUCCCUGAGCUUAACUUAGGAAUUGCAUUCGAUACUGGGAAGCUAGAGUAUGGGAGAGUAUGGUAGAAUUCCAGGUGUAGCGGUGAAAUGCGUAGAGAUCUGGAGGAAUACCGAUGGCGAAGGCAGCCAUCUGGCCUAAUACUGACGCUGAGGUACGAAAGCAUGGGGAGCAAACAGGAUUAGAUACCCCCGUAGUCCCUGUCUCUUAUAC
This 301-nucleotide ribosomal RNA is filed under the name uncultured bacterium. RNAcentral describes it as "partial 16S ribosomal RNA". It matches the Rfam family "Bacterial small subunit ribosomal RNA", at positions 509 to 807 of the family's 1533-position model. The record is from RNAcentral.